This is a non-coding RNA of Plectropomus leopardus (leopard coralgrouper), 5018 nucleotides long. NCBI's taxonomy places the organism in Eukaryota, Metazoa, Chordata, Actinopteri, Perciformes, Serranidae. The record is from RefSeq and is a predicted model, not a curated record.
ACCGGAGACGGGGACAAGAUCGCCCGGUUAUCGUCCUUCAGGAGGAGCCUCAGACCGCGGGGGGCGAUGCUCAGAGGGAGUCUGUCCGCGGGCAGCAGGACUUAAAAAGCUGCGGUCCAUCCAUCUGGACACUUUUUACUCUCGCCCCUUCUUCCCCUCCGAUAAGGAAGAUAAGAACCAGCAUCUCCCAGCUUGCAGUCCUCUUUUGGUCUCUGACCCCAGUUUGACGGAGAGUCUUGUUUGAUUUCAGCACGAUGCUGAAGACCGGGAUCCUCCCGCUGCUGCUGUGGGUGUUUGUGGCGUCCGGAGAACUCCAACAAGAGACGGAGCCGCGGAGACUGCCACCCCCGGGAAAGUUGGAUUUCGGUUAUGUGCCUGCGGGAGUUUACGAGACUCUGGCCCACUACGAGCCGGGGCCGAUAGGGAUCCUGUUCCACAUGGUGCACGCGUUUCUGUAUGUCGUGCAACCCAACGCGUUCCCGCAAGAUCUUAUUGUCAAACUGGCAAAGGACAAGUUUGGAGCCAUUCAGACAGAAUACCAAAAGGCCAUCUACUACGAGAUCGGCUUCCUAGUAUGCGCUGCAGUCGGGCUGCUGUUCGCCGUUCUGGUGCCGAUAGUUGGCCUCUUUUUCUGCAUGUGCCGCUGCUGUGACAACUGCGGCGGCGAGAUGCACCAACGGCAGAGGAAGAACGCGGACUGCCGGCGUGGCCUAUUAGGAACGCUGCUCUUCUCCACCUCACUGGUCAUCACGAUCGGAGUUCUGUGUGCAUAUGCUGCCAACCAGAACCUGAGCUCCCAGGUGAAGAACAUACGGAGACUGGUCAACAGCAACAUGAGGGACCUGCACACCUUCGCGAAUGAUACUCCAAUGCAAAUUGAUUACCUAAUAUCCCAAUACGCCACCGCCAAGAACAAAGUCAUCUAUGACCUAGAUAAUAUAGGUCCAUUAUUGGGUGGACGGAUACACGAUCAGCUGGAUAAGGAGGUUCAUCCUGCCCUGGACAGAGCGCUCAAUAUGGCUGGAGCCAUGCGAGAAACCAAGGAGGCCCUGGAGAACGUCAGCGUGGGUCUGGAGGUUCUCCAGGAAGGAACAGGGAAGCUCAACUUCAACCUGAGUCUGGUCCGCACCAGCAUCAACCGCACCCUCAACGACCCGGGCUGUCAUGACGAGGAGUCCGACGCCACGUCUGCACAGCUGUGCCGCAAUAUCCGCCAGUCGCUGUCCCAGCUGCAGAUCGGCGCCAACUUCACACGGUUACCCAAAGUGAACGCUCAGCUGCAAAAGGUGAACGACGUAUUGAAAACGGACCUCAGUGCUAUAGUCCAGAGGGGCUACGCCUCUUUGAACAACACGCCACACAUGGUGGUUGAACAGACCAGGAGUGUUGUGGAAACUGUGCAGAGUUUGGUGGACGGUAUUGGCAAUAACAUCAGCAGCUUUUCCAAGGUAUUCCCUGUGCAGAGCUGCCUGUCUAACUUCACCAUCUUCAUUAGCCAUGCCCACGCCAAGAUCGAGGACUACUACCCUGAAAUUGACAAAAUGGACUUCUACAGGUGGAUUGGCUGUAUUGCUCUUUGCUGCAUGGUGGUCCUGGUGCUGGCCUUCAACUACCUGGGCCUGCUUUGUGGCACCCUGGGAUACGACAAGCACGCGUCACCUACGACACGAGGCUGCAUCUCCAACACGGGGGGAACGAUGCUCAUGGCCGGCGUCGGCUUCAGCAUCAUCUUCUCCUGGGUGCUGAUGGGAGUGGUGACCAUCAUCUUCCUGGCUGGAGGGAACAUGGAGAAACUUGUUUGUGAACCGUUUCACAGCAAAGAAAUCUUCAAUGUUGUGGACAGCCCGUAUUUGGUCAACCCAGACUGGAAGAACUUCAUCCCCGGCUACAUGUACAACGACUCUGACCUGGAGCUGACAGCAGAGAGCUUAUACAGUACCUGCAAAGAGAACAAAGGCAUCUACUCAGCCAUGCGUCUGGACAAAGUUUUCAACAUCUCCUCGUUCCUGAACACUACAGUGUUUACGAAGGAUGUGGUGAGUCAGCUGGACAGCGUCAGGAUCGACCUGAGGGGGAUAAUCCUGUUAGAGGCAGAGGGGAAGCAGAACCUCCUGGAUUUCUCUGAAGCCGGGCUGUCGGAAAUCAACUACGCAGACUACCUGGAAGAGGUCAACAAAGGAGUCACUCAGGUGGACCUGCUCUCAUUUGCCAGAGAGCUGGAGGCCCAGACCGACCUCAUGCCCAGAGGCGCUCUGCAGACCGCACUUAAAGGCCACGUCGGCACUCUGCGGCAGAUCCACAGUCAACAGAUCAUCCCCAUGGAGCAGGCCAUGAGUGCACUGAAUCAGAGUAUGAGGUACCUGGAGAGAACAGCCUCAGAUCUGCCAAACAAAGUUACAGCAGUUCUUGAUGCCAUCGAAGCCGCCCAGUUCCUCAUCUCCCAGAAUGCUUCACAUUUAAUCAAUCGGGAAUCAGGGAAAUACACGGCGACUAUUGUUGGCUACUUCCAUCAAUACAUAGAAUGGGUCAAAACAUCUUUGGCUAUGGAGGUUGCACCAUGUAAGCCCUUCAGCAACAUGGUGGACACGGCAGAUAUCAUUGCUUGCAGUUUCUUGGUCGACUCCAUGAACACAUUCUGGAUGGGCCUGGGCUGCAGCACUCUCUUCCUGCUCCCGAGCAUCAUCCUCGCAGUGAAACUAGCCAAGUACUACCGCAGGAUGGAUACAGAGGAUGUUUACGAUGACAUUGAGACAAUUCCCAUGAAAACUAUGGAAAUUGGUAAUAAUGGUUAUCAUAGUGAGAGCUCACAAGGUAUCCCAAAUCCUAUGAUGACAAGCAUCCCUACCUAUGACACUAUGAACAGGUUCCCGCGGGCCUCGGCUCCUCCGAGGCACAUCGACUGGUGACAGAGAGCCGGCUCUUGUUCUGGCUCCUGAAAGCCUCUUUUAGUGCUUUUCUGCUCACAGUGACUUUGCAGGAAAACCAUCAUGUGCCCUUGAAAACUAGAACUAAAACAUACCACACUGUUUGUUUCACAACCCUCGGACCAGAAGAAGCUCAAUAAAAGCUGGUUUCCUUACAACAGAAGAAGAACACAAAAAGCCCUUUGGGUGGUUUUUUUUUUUUUUUUUAACUUUAGUGAACAACUCAACCUCCUCAACCAGGCAGAUCACAGCCUCCAGAACGGUUACCUGCUCCCCAUCAAAGACACUCUGCCUGCAGGACAUCUAACUCUUCUCCCUCAGCAUCAAUCUGAGCCAGGCUUGUUCUGCUUUUUUAUUUCAAAGGACUGCUGUGUCUGCGUUUACAUUUGUUCAGACACAAAACCCAGCUGAAAAAUACAUUCAGCAAGAGGACAUGACAAUAACUGUGAUGCCUGUUCAUAUUAAUGUUUGUGCUUAAGAAGACAGUGGCUGAAAGGUCACUCAAAGGUCAUGGCAAGCUGCUAGAAGAAACUUUUUCUCCUGCUCUUAGAACGGAUGAAUCGCAUUCAACACAAGCUAAUGCCAGACGUGGCACAGUCUAUCAAUACAUCUGCGAGGAAAGGUGCAAAUUAACGUGAAAGUCAAUGUGUUAAAAAGCAGCGUUAUGUUGAGAAUGGCACAUCCUUUUUAACUGCAGCAUGUGAGUUAGUGGGUGUGUGUGUUUCAUAAUGACUGAGAACAGGACGAUUUGAACAAGGUAAAAACAGAGAAACAGGUUGGUCCCAGGUGGAUUUUUGUGAGAAAUUUAGCAUGACUUAAAAAGAUAAAAAGUGUUUACAGUAUCACAAAACAUCCAGACAUCUUUGCUGGUUUUUGGGCGAAUUGCAAAUGACUGGUUGCCUUUCAGAAGUAUGUUUCACGCUGGUUUUUUUGACAGAUAUGCUGCUUUUUCAAAGGGAAAACCCACCCAUGGAUACUCGUUCACUGCUAAAAAUCAGUCAUGUUAUUUUCUGUUUACGUGUUUAAAAUAUACUCUUUACCUUUUCUUUGUUAGCAUACCUGUAAUUAAUUCAUUUGUGUCAUCUACAUUUAAUUUUCAUACAUUUUCCAUAAUGCAUUUAAACAACCUAAAUUCUAGGAUUUUUUUUAUUCAUUUUUUUAAAGGUGAGACAAAUGUAUCAUCACAGCAAAACACCAAUACACACCAAGCAGCGGCUAAGUGCAAUAAUUCAUUUAUUUUUGCGACUGAGAGGCAUGUGUUUCAGGCGGGAAGAAAUUUUUUUGGCAGCUCGCCCUGGGCUGAACCACUGAUUGGUGUGUUUUAGGUGUGACAUGGCUUGUUGCCGUUUUGCUGUAAACUACGACUUAUGCCAAUAUAUUUGUUUCUUUUUAGGGAUUACCAAUACUGUUUUAACACUGAACAAAUUCUUGAUUCUAAAUUAAGGUUGAAUUUUUCAGCCGGUGGCUCCCAAAUGUUUAGUUGGUGGUUACCAUUAAAUUUAAGCAGUUUAGAGUUGCAGCCCCUCCUCACACGGUGUAUGGGACCGUGUCCACCAAAGCAGGUUUUUUUUCUGAGGCCAGUGGGACUUUUUUAAUGCUUUGCAAUGGGAGCACUUUGUAUUAAUGCUGCGCAACAAAGACCAGCAGCGCGACAAGGCACUGAGCGUCUAAUCUGUGCUGAGCGCUGCCGGUUGGGUGUUUAUUUUUUCUGAGCACAGAGAGUUGAAAAAUGUUAAACUUUGGGCAAAAAAGCUGCGCCUGUCAGCCAUUCAAUCACAGCGGAGGAGGGACAAAUCCUGCAAAGAAUCUGUUACAUUAACAAAUGGUGAAUAACAACAGAGCAGACAUCAUUUACUACACUGUAAUAUAUAUUAUAUAAUAUAAUUUCAGUGUUUGUGAUACUUCUGCUGCGCCUGUCACACACAGUGAAAGGAACGAUCAUUUUACCCAAAUGUUAUCACCAAUUUUAAUGACUGAGUCAUUUCUGUGUUGGUGUGAGCAGCAUCUGAAUGUAAACACGCAAGUCUCCCUGCAGCUCUCCCCAACUGCAGCCCUGUCCUGCGGCACAGAGCGGGUGUACUGUUCGCGGUUGUU